UCCGGUUUAUCACCGGCAGUCCCUGCAGCGUUCUCGUAUAUGUCAAGCCUUGGUAAGGUUCUUCGCGUUGCAUCGAAUUAAUCCGCAUGCUCCGCCGCUUGUGCGGGUCCCCGUCAAUUCCUUUGAGUUUUAGCCUUGCGGCCGUACUCCCCAGGCGGGGAACUUAAUGCGUUAGCUGCGUCACGGAAUCCGUGGAAUGGACCCCACAACUAGUUCCCAACGUUUACGGGGUGGACUAC
Molecule: unclassified non-coding RNA, 239 nt
Filed under: uncultured Microbacteriaceae bacterium
Lineage: Bacteria; Bacillati; Actinomycetota; Actinomycetes; Micrococcales; Microbacteriaceae
Description: contains 16S-23S intergenic spacer region
Source: RNAcentral